CACUUCGAUACGUAAUCCACAGCCACUAAUAUGUACUGAUUAGAGACGGAUGGGGAAAAUGGCCCCAUGAAAUCGAUCCCCCAGACGUCGAUUAGUUCCACCUCCAGGAUACUGUUUAAAGGCAUUUCGUUUCUCCUGGAUAUAUUACCUGUGCAUUGACAUCGGUCACACCCUUUUGCGAAUUCAAAGGCAUCCUUAAAUAGUGUAGGCCAAUAAAAACCUGAAUGAAGGAUCUUCACCGUUGUUUUCAAAGCACCAAAAUGCCCUGCAUAUGUAGAUGAAUGACAAUGUUCUAAUAUCAAAGGCACUUCUUCCUCAGGUACGUAGCGACGAACAAUUUGAUCAGCCCCCCGCCUAUAUAGAAUGGGGUCCUUCAUAAAUAAUACUUCAAUUCAGCGAAAAAUUUCUUCUUCUAGUGACUAGAGUAAUCAAGCAACAUGAUAGACCUAGCUAAGUAGUUAACUAUGUCCGCAUACCAGGGUGCCUCCCCCAUACCAAAAAUCUAUUCAUCUGGGAAGACUUCAUUGAUUUCCACUGUCUCUGUCUGUUCUGCGGUCUCAAGUGGUCUGCCACCACAUUUUCACUGUCCUUUUUAUCCCUGAUUUCCAAGUUAAACUCUUGAAGUAACAAUAUCCACCGAAUGAGAUGGG
This 650-nucleotide small RNA is filed under the name Olea europaea subsp. europaea. The record is from RNAcentral. Lineage: Eukaryota; Viridiplantae; Streptophyta; Magnoliopsida; Lamiales; Oleaceae.